RNAcentral lists this non-coding RNA (30 nucleotides) under Mus musculus (house mouse). The record is from RNAcentral. Lineage: Eukaryota; Metazoa; Chordata; Mammalia; Rodentia; Muridae.
UCCUUCAAUGGUGGUUGCUACAAUGUCUCC